AUUGAACGCUGGCGGCAGGCCUAACACAUGCAAGUCGAGCGGAUGAAGGGAGCUUGCUCCUGGAUUCAGCGGCGGACGGGUGAGUAAUGCCUAGGAAUCUGCCUGGUAGUGGGGGAUAACGUCCGGAAACGGGCGCUAAUACCGCAUACGUCCUGAGGGAGAAAGUGGGGGAUCUUCGGACCUCACGCUAUCAGAUGAGCCUAGGUCGGAUUAGCUAGUUGGUGGGGUAAAGGCCUACCAAGGCGACGAUCCGUAACUGGUCUGAGGGGAUGAUCAGUCACACUGGAACUGAGACAAGGUCCAGACUCCUACGGGAGGCAGCAGUGGGGAAUAUUGGACAAUGGGCGAAAGCCUGAUCCAGCCAUGCCGCGUGUGUGAAGAAGGUCUUCGGAUUGUAAAGCACUUUAAGUUGGGAGGAAGGGCAGUAAGUUAAUACCUUGCUGUUUUGACGUUACCAACAGAAUAAGCACCGGCUAACUUCGUG
RNAcentral lists this ribosomal RNA (484 nucleotides) under uncultured bacterium. RNAcentral describes it as "partial 16S ribosomal RNA". It matches the Rfam family "Bacterial small subunit ribosomal RNA", at positions 30 to 507 of the family's 1533-position model. The record is from RNAcentral.